This 464-nucleotide ribosomal RNA is filed under the name uncultured bacterium. RNAcentral describes it as "bacterial SSU rRNA". It matches the Rfam family "Bacterial small subunit ribosomal RNA", at positions 338 to 795 of the family's 1533-position model. The record is from RNAcentral.
CCUACGGGUGGCUGCAGUCGCGAAUUUUUCACAAUGGGCGCAAGCCUGAUGAAGCCACGCCGUGUGCGGGAUGAAGGCUCUUUGAGUUGUAAACCGCUGUCAAGUGGAGGGAACCGUACGGUGUUAACAGCGCCGUAUCUGACUGUCCGCUAAAGGAAGCCCCGGCAAAACAUGUGCCAGCAGCCGCGGUAAUACAUGUGGGGCAAGCGUUGUUCGGAAUCACUGGGCAUAAAGGGUGCGUAGGCGGCUUGUUAAGUCAGGGGUGAAAUCCCACGGCCCAACCGUGGAACUGCCUCUGAAACUGGCGAGCUUGAGUGCGUGAGGGGUAACCGGAACGAGUAGUGUAGCGGUGAAAUGCGUAGAUAUUACUCGGAAGGCCAAAGGCGAAGGCAGGUUACUGGUACGCAACUGACGCUGAGGCACGAAAGCGUGGGGAGCAAACAGGAUUAGAUACCCCGGUAGUC